AGUAAGAUAAGCUAAUCUAAGCUAUUGGGCUCAUGCCCCGAAAAUGAGGAAUCCUCUCUUACUU
RNAcentral lists this transfer RNA (64 nucleotides) under Nephtys sp. 'San Juan Island' YV-2008. RNAcentral's name for it is "tRNA-Met". Lineage: Eukaryota; Metazoa; Annelida; Polychaeta; Phyllodocida; Nephtyidae. The record is from RNAcentral.